This 69-nucleotide transfer RNA is filed under the name Chaenophryne melanorhabdus. RNAcentral's name for it is "tRNA-Arg". Lineage: Eukaryota; Metazoa; Chordata; Actinopteri; Lophiiformes; Oneirodidae. The record is from RNAcentral.
ACUGGCCUUCCACCGAACCCACCUUCUCUCCGCCCUACUCUGUCUUGAGGGUAUGAUACUCUCCUUAUU